AACGAACGCUGGCGGCGUGGAUAAGACAUGCAAGUCGAACGGGACAACAUCUGUAGCAAUACAGGUGUUGUUUAGUGGCGAACGGGUGCGUAACACGUGGGCAAUCUGCCGAGAAGUGGGGGAUAGCUCGCCGAAAGGCGAAUUAAUACCGCAUAUGAUCAGUGAAGACAUCUUCACGACAUCAAAGCCGGGGUAACCUGGCGCUUCUUGAUGAGCCCGCGGCCUAUCAGCUAGUUGGUGAGGUAACGGCUCACCAAGGCUAUGACGGGUAGCUGGUCUGAGAGGACGACCAGUCACACUGGAACUGAGACACGGACCAGACUCCGUACGGGAGCAGCAGUAAGGAAUAUUGGACAAUGGGCGCAAGCCUGAUCCAGCCAUGCCGCGUGCAGGAUGAAGGUGCUCUGC
Molecule: ribosomal RNA, 408 nt
Filed under: uncultured bacterium
Lineage: Bacteria
Description: bacterial SSU rRNA
Rfam family: Bacterial small subunit ribosomal RNA
Source: RNAcentral